GAGGUCAAGCCUGCCCAGUGACAUUGUUCAACGGCCGCGGUAUCCUAACCGUGCGAAGGUAGCGUAAUCACUUGUUCUUUAAAUGAGGACUAGUAUGAACGGCUUCACGAAAGCUAUACUGUCUCCUUUAUCCAAUCAGUUAAACUAAUCUUCCCGUGAAGAAGCGGGAAUUUAUUUAUAAGACGAGAAGACCCUAUGGAGCUUUAAAUAUUUUUAAACAUUCGAAUUUUACAUUACUAUUUCAGAAAACUUUACUAAGCCCAUCGUUUUGUUUUAAGUUUUAGGUUGGGGUGACCACGGAGUAUAACUUAACCUCCACGCAGAAAGAGACUUUUCCUCUAAGCAAAAAGCUACACCUUUAUGCAUCAAGAAAUUGACCUUAAUUGACCCAUUAUUUGAUCAACGAACCAAGUUACCCUAGGGAUAACAGCGCAAUCCGCUUUAAGAGCUCCUAUCGACAAGCGGGCUUACGACCUCGAUGUUGGAUCAGGGUAUCCUAGUGGUGCAGCAACUACUAAUGGUUCGUUUGUUCAACGAUUAAAAC
Molecule: ribosomal RNA, 544 nt
Filed under: Allobates humilis (Bocono rocket frog)
Lineage: Eukaryota; Metazoa; Chordata; Amphibia; Anura; Aromobatidae
Description: partial 16S ribosomal RNA
Rfam family: Bacterial large subunit ribosomal RNA
Source: RNAcentral